CAGUAGCCGCGGUAAUACGAAGGGUGCAAGCGUUACUCGGAAUUACUGGGCGUAAAGCGUGCGUAGGUGGUGGUUUAAGUCCGUUGUGAAAGCCCUGGGCUCAACCUGGGAAUUGCAGUGGAUACUGGAUCACUAGAGUGUGGUAGAGGAUAGUGGAAUUUCCGGUGUAGCAGUGAAAUGCGUAGAGAUCGGAAGGAACAUCUGUGGCGAAGGCGACUAUCUGGGCCAACACUAACACUGAGGCACGAAAGCGUGGGGAGCAAACAGGAUUAGAUACCCGCGUAGUCCCUGUCUCUUAUAC
Molecule: ribosomal RNA, 301 nt
Filed under: uncultured bacterium
Lineage: Bacteria
Description: partial 16S ribosomal RNA
Rfam family: Bacterial small subunit ribosomal RNA
Source: RNAcentral